CUCCUGAUGAGCGCCAGUGGUCUGUUGUGCGGGCUUCAAACCCGUAAAUGAUCAGAAUCAGAGUGGUUCGAUUUCAACUUCUGGGCG
Caerostris extrusa is the source of this 87-nucleotide non-coding RNA. Lineage: Eukaryota; Metazoa; Arthropoda; Arachnida; Araneae; Araneidae. The record is from the annotation of a GenBank genome assembly.